CACGUAGGGGGCGAGCGUUGUCCGGAUUUAUUGGGCGUAAAGCGCGCGUAGGCGGGUUGGUAAGUCCGCUGUGAAAGCCCGGAGCUCAACUCCGGAGGGUCGGUGGAUACUGCCAGUCUUGAAGGUGCUAGGGGGAGAUGGAAUUACCGGUGUAGCGGUGAAAUGCGUAGAUAUCGGUAGGAACACCAGUGGCGAAGGCGGUCUCCUGGGGCAUUCUUGACGCUGAGGCGCGAAAGCUGGGGGAGCAAACGGG
Molecule: ribosomal RNA, 253 nt
Filed under: uncultured bacterium
Lineage: Bacteria
Description: partial 16S ribosomal RNA
Rfam family: Bacterial small subunit ribosomal RNA
Source: RNAcentral